This is a long non-coding RNA of Carassius carassius (crucian carp), 1062 nucleotides long. RefSeq lists it as uncharacterized. The transcript has 3 exons. The record is from RefSeq and is a predicted model, not a curated record. Lineage: Eukaryota; Metazoa; Chordata; Actinopteri; Cypriniformes; Cyprinidae.
UGCAAAGGUUUACAAAUGUCAUUAUAGAAAUAGAAAAUUAUGUUCAGCACAAGGGAAAGUCUCAGUCAUGAUAGAGAAACAAAAGUGUGUGUGUGUGUGUGUGUGUUAGAGAGGGAGGGAGAAGGUACAGUACAAAUCCUAGACAGCGUGUGAGACAAAGCAGUCUUGGAUGGAGGGAUAAAUGGAGCGAGCAGAUAGAGGGGUGGAGUGGAGGAGAAGCUUUCAACCCCAUGUCCUCACUGCCUGGAACAGCUCAUGCACAUGAGUGGCUCUGUGUGUGUGUGUGUGUGUGUGUGUGUGUGUGUGUGUGUGUGUGUGUGUGUGUGUGUGUGUGUGUGUGUGUGUGUGUGUGUGUGUGUGUGUGUGUGUGUGUGUGUGUGUGUGUGUGUGUGUGUGUGUGUGUGUGUGUGUGUGUGUGUGUGUGUGUGUGUGUGUGUGUGUGUGUGUGUGUGUGUGUGUGUGUGUGUGUGUGUGUGUGUGUGUGUGUGUGUGUGUGUGUGUGUGUGUGUGUUGGUUUUUGUGGUUUACAAGGACUUUUGACCUGAAUACGCACCAGCAUUACAGGGACAUUUGGGUUUAUGAGGACAGGGCCCAUGUCCUUAUAAUUCCGACAGUGUAGAUGCCUUUCUCUAUGUCCCAGAAGCUCCCUCUCAAAUUUUCGCGCCAUGUCCUAAUAUACCACAAAACCCUGAAAUUUUACUAUACACUGUGUAUCCUCUGAGCUCGGGAGUGCGCCCCUGCAGCCCGGACCCGGUACUGCAUCCGCGUCAUCGAAAAUUUGCAUAUUUUACACUUGUGUAAGUUUGUAGGCCGCUGAUUGGCUAGAUCGGCAUCGGAGGGCGGGAAAUCGCGAAAACAAAAUGGCGGCGGUGGGCGGGGCUACAUUCUGCCGCUAAUAGCUCCGUACAACGAGGCAAGUGUGACGGUUUGUAACUUCCUGUUUGGAACGGACGCAAUCUGUGCACCUGAAGCGAAGACAUCUGUGGUGUGAAGCUGUUGGAGACAACUAUUAUAUUAAAGACACAUGAGAGGAUGGCUGAAGGUGCGAGACGAAGGAGAAAG